RNAcentral lists this ribosomal RNA (253 nucleotides) under uncultured bacterium. RNAcentral describes it as "partial 16S ribosomal RNA". It matches the Rfam family "Bacterial small subunit ribosomal RNA", at positions 524 to 776 of the family's 1533-position model. The record is from RNAcentral.
UACGAAGGGGGCUAGCGUUGCUCGGAUUGACUGGGCGUAAAGAGCUCGUAGGCGGUUUGUCGCGUCGAAUGUGAAAACCCGGGGCUCAACCCCGGGCCUGCAUUCGAUACGGGCAGACUAGAGUUCGGUAGGGGAGUCUGGAAUUCCUGGUGUAGCGGUGAAAUGCGCAUAUAUCAGGAAGAACACCCGUGGCUAAGGCGGCUCUCUAGUACGUGACUGACGCUGAGACGCGAAAGCGUGGGGAGCGAACAGG